UGUUGCCCAUGGUAUCUGAUGUCCAGUAUGUAUUUGUAGCUGGAGAUCUCGUUUUGAUGGGCAGAUACAAAUUCAUGAACAGGUCUUGCGACACAGUUAGCUAUUCUGUUCACAAGCUUGCUGUUACUAAAUCCCUGCUCACAUUU
Hibiscus syriacus is the source of this 146-nucleotide small nucleolar RNA. RefSeq annotates it as small nucleolar RNA F1/F2/snoR5a. NCBI's taxonomy places the organism in Eukaryota, Viridiplantae, Streptophyta, Magnoliopsida, Malvales, Malvaceae. The transcript has a single exon. The record is from RefSeq and is a predicted model, not a curated record.